UAUAUGGAGAGUUUGAUCCUGGCUCAGGACGAACGCUGGCGGCGUGCCUAAUACAUGCAAGUCGAGCGGACUGAUGGGAGCUUGCUCCCUGAAGUCAGCGGC
RNAcentral lists this ribosomal RNA (102 nucleotides) under Cytobacillus oceanisediminis. Its description in RNAcentral is "partial 16S ribosomal RNA". It matches the Rfam family "Bacterial small subunit ribosomal RNA", at positions 1 to 99 of the family's 1533-position model. The record is from RNAcentral. Lineage: Bacteria; Bacillati; Bacillota; Bacilli; Caryophanales; Bacillaceae.